CCUACGGGGGGCAGCAGUGGGGAAUAUUGGACAAUGGGGGGAACCCUGAUCCAGCGACGCCGCGUGAGUGAAGAAGUAUUUCGGUAUGUAAAGCUCUAUCAGCAGGGAAGAAAGAAAUGACGGUACCUGACUAAGAAGCCCCGGCUAACUACGUGCCAGCAGCCGCGGUAAUACGUAGGGGGCAAGCGUUAUCCGGAUUUACUGGGUGUAAAGGGAGCGUAGACGGCGAUGCAAGUCUGAAGUGAAAGGCGGGGGCCCAACCCCUGGACUGCUUUGGAAACUGUAUGGCUGGAGUGCAGGGGAGGUAAGUGGAAUUCGUAGUGUAGCGGUGAAAUGCGUAGAUAUGAGGAGGAACACCAGUGGCGAAGGCGGCUUACUGGACUGUAACUGACGUUGAGGCUCGAAAGCGUGGGGAGCAAACAGGAUUAGAUACCCUAGUAGUC
Molecule: ribosomal RNA, 443 nt
Filed under: uncultured bacterium
Lineage: Bacteria
Description: partial 16S ribosomal RNA
Rfam family: Bacterial small subunit ribosomal RNA
Source: RNAcentral